AAUGAUUCAGAGAUCCAGAAAAUACUUUUGCCAAGAAUUGUUGGAUCUGGAGAUAACCCAGAGAGGGGAUGCAACUUCAUUCUUUGGGUUUUUGACAUGACAAAGCACAUCAGAGUUUAUGAUAACACCAAUCAAUAUCUGACAAUACACAACCGUGACAUGGAAAUUCUGAAGACUUUCUUAUUUUUACACACUGUUUCAUAUAAUUACAAAUUGUGCCCAAUACAUUAUGAUUUUUAAACAAAUCAUUGCAUAAUAAGUUAUUAUAAUAAAAUUGUAAUACAAUUAAAAUAUUAAAUUAUUUACAUUAUAUACUAAAGUACUGUUUUUUUUCCAGAGAUGCUUUUAGAAAUAUUGCAUCCUUGGACAAUUGGACUGUGUCUAGUCUACAGCAAUGGCAGAGAGACGAUGGAAGGAACUGUGGUGUUUUCGUAUGCACAAUGGCAGAGAUGGAAGCUAAAAGUAUUAAAAUGUGCCACGAAAUUCUGCACACUGAACAGAUGGGAUACCUUCAUCUUUACCAUGCCUCAUGCAUGGUGAAACUUCUACAACCAGAGGUAACCCUUGAAAUUCAAAAGGUUUACAGUUUACAGAGUAUGCAAAGCUCAACAUGAAAGUUUAUCCUAGGACUUUCCACCCAAAGUCAAAAUAGUCCAGACCAGCUGUAUGGCCCAUGUAGGAGUUUGCAUUUAUCAAAAAUAUUGAUCAAAGUAUGUGAUAACUAUUUAAUUUCCUUAUGAACUACAAUUUAAUAAAAGCAGUUACACUCAUUGUUAUCAUUUAUCUGUAUGCAGAGUAAUGCACCCACGAAUCCAGUCACUGGACUGGAUUCAAUGUGACCUUUGCAAAAAAUGCCUGCCUUCUGACUGCGCUGGUAUCAGCCUUGAAACGAUCACAGAGGAAACAUCAUUCAGCUGUGGAUGUGACACUAACCAUGUGCAUACCUUUGAGAAAACAUUGGCACUACUGAAGAAGGGCUGGUUGGUUGACAUUGUAAUACAGGAUCAAGAAGUCUUGAGAUUGCACGAAGGCUUGAGAAACGGCACAAUCCGAUCCAGCAGGAUGUUUUUAUUUAAACAUCCCACAUUUUCUCCAAAGCUGAGGAUGAAACUUAGCAAAAAGUUUUGUUUUUUUUUGAGGAAGAACAGUUAUUUCAUACUGUUUGCCUUGUUUAACAAUUUAUAUAUUUAA
This is a long non-coding RNA of Cyprinus carpio (common carp), 1191 nucleotides long. The record is from Ensembl. Lineage: Eukaryota; Metazoa; Chordata; Actinopteri; Cypriniformes; Cyprinidae.